Molecule: long non-coding RNA, 382 nt
Organism: Dermatophagoides pteronyssinus (European house dust mite)
Lineage: Eukaryota; Metazoa; Arthropoda; Arachnida; Sarcoptiformes; Pyroglyphidae
Source: RefSeq, a predicted model, not a curated record
GUGCCAGGCAAUUAUCCGGUAAUGGUGUUAUACGAUAUGUACAAUUUACAUUUGGUGGAUAAAAAUUUGGAUAAUCAUAUGAUUGUAUAUGGCCAGUUACUUCGGUUACACAAAUUUCACAAAUUGAUGGUAAUGAUGAUAAUUUUUCAAUGGUUCAUGAUUCGAUAUUAAUGUAUCACAAUCAAUUUGUCUGGCCUGUAUCAUAAAUCCUUUUCGUGGUCGAAAUGAAACACUUCGAAAAUAUAUACGUUUUUCUGGUUCAAAAAAUGAUAAUCUUCCAUACAUUUUUCCGAUGGUUCAAUAUCAAAAUCAUUAAAAUAUAAUUCCAAUUUACAAUAACGACUAUUUCGUCUUUGUAUGGUGUAUACACAGCUUAAACUAG